CAAUAGCGUAUAUUAAAGUUGUUGCAGUUAAAAAGCUCGUAGUUGGAUUUCUGGUAGGAGUGACCGUUCCGAACUUGAUUGUUCGUGUAUUGUGUUUUCUCCAGCCAUCCUUGUGGAGAACAUUUCUUGCAUUAAUUUGUAGGGAUUGGGACCCGCAUCGUUUACUGUGAAAAAAUUAGAGUGUUUAAAGCAGGCAAUCGCUUGAAUACAUUAGCAUGGAAUAAUAAGAUAGGACUUUGGUACUAUUUUGUUGGUUUGCAUACCAAAUUAAUGAUCAACAGGAACAGUUUGAGGAUAUUCGUAUGAACAUGUCAGAGGUGAAAUUCUUGGAUUUUGAUCAGACGAACUACUGCGAAAGCAUUUAUCAAGGAUGUUUUCAUUAA
RNAcentral lists this ribosomal RNA (383 nucleotides) under uncultured eukaryote. RNAcentral's name for it is "partial 18S ribosomal RNA". It matches the Rfam family "Eukaryotic small subunit ribosomal RNA", at positions 592 to 976 of the family's 1831-position model. The record is from RNAcentral.